CAGCUAUGUCCCCACGGCCUUCGCUGCCCACCUGCUGUCCUGAAGCAGACGUACACUCUGGCACCUGCCUCUGCUGGGAGGAAACCGCAGGAUCCGGCCACACCGCACAGGCCGGGACUCCUCAGAGGCCACCAUCAGGUCGGGGCUCCUGGGGCCCUGCCACCUGCCGAGCGACGCACGGUGACACACAUCCAGUGGGGAAGCUGGCAGCUGCUCCCUCUCUGGUCUCGGGUCCAUGGCCUCUGUCGUCACCCAAGACGUGGUCAGCAUUUUGCUCCCAGAAUUAUCUGACGCCUUCCACCGUCGGGGUGGUGGUGUGCAGAACUCACAGCCCCCCACUAAGAUUCUUUUUUUUUUCUAAAGAUUUUAAGUAAUCUCUGCACCCAGUGUGGGGCUUGAACUCACAACCCUGAGAUCAACAGUCAUGUACUGAAAAAAAAAGAGAGAGUCAUGUGCUUCACAGACAGAGCCAGCCAGGCGCCCCCAAGUCCCUCCAAGAUUCUUGUCCCUGUUGCUGAGCUGGCACUUACUCAGGUGCUGCUGUGCAGGGAUUUGCAGAUGAGCAGCCGAGGCCCUUGGAUCCCGGGUGUGGGCAAGCGGGGCAGGAGGGCAGGGAGACUGAGGCCUGAGGAGGACUUGCUCAGGAGAGGGAAUGGGGGUCCUGUAGGGCAGAGAGGGCGUGCCAGCUGGGCCCCCACCUACGACAAGCCCUCAGCCCCACAAGAAUUCUGCGCCGGGUUGGAGGAUCCCCGGGGCCCUGGCGGGGAGCCCAGCCUGGCCGGCACCUCGACUGCAGUCUGUAGGGACAGGCCUCCCAGGCCUCCGAGGGGCUGAUGGUGCGGCAGCUCCAGGGGUUGGGUGGGUGGCAGUGCGCAGGCAGCCGUGGGUGGCCCCCAAGCGGCCUCACGGGCGCAGCCAGCGGGGUCUCCAGGGCACUGGCGGCAGGCGGGGGGCAGUGUCCUCUGCCGAGGGGACCGCAGGACCACACUCCCUGCGAAUCCUCACACUCGUGUCUGCAAUGGCCGUUCAGGUUCUGGCCUCUUCCUGCCGACCGGGCCCAGGGGUCACGGCAUUCCUGGGUGAGGGCUGUGACUUCCCGCAAACCCGAGAGUCUCCCACGUUGUGGCAGUGCAAAGACAGAAGUCCCAGCCGCAUGUGAAGGGGAUGCUUCAGGAGAAAGAAGACUUUCCCCCGAGCGGAGAAACGGACUUCUCCUCGUUAUCCCAGCUGCUCCCGAAGCCCUGGCUCCUUCCUGGGCCUUCCCUGCGCAGCCGAAGGAUGAGCCCCGUUUCCUAGCACCUCACCCCGCAGGCCCUGCUGCCCACCCCCACCCACCACCACCCCCCAGUCCCCGGGGUCCAGGCCCACCCUCUUCUCAAGGCUUUCACGGUCUCACGUGGAGGGCGGGGAGACAGGUGCCCUGGCACCCGAGCCCCAGGUUUGCCUUGGCUCCUUCCUCUCACCCCAGAGUCACAGUCCUUAGAAAGAAAGCAGCGUGGCUCCCGCACAAGUGAUGCACAGGGAGCUGCGACCGCCCAGCCGGGUGCCCCCGCGGCCCCUCCUCCGACACCGCACACGCCCUGGGAGCCACGUGUAGGGAGAAAGCCCCCAGUGUGCACGAGGCCAUCGCUUCCCGAAGAGGUGUUGCCAUCAUAAGACACGCUCCUCCUCAACUCCCAGGAAUCACUUGGGAGAUGCUGGGGUUUGCCAGGGGCCGCGCCCUGUGAACCCUGGUAUAUUUGUGAUGAGCCUACGCAGGCCAAGGUGAGAGCACCUCUUUCUCUGUCCCCAGGAGAUACCAACUGGUUACAAGUUGACGAGGAAAUGUGCCUGGUACCUUUGCCAUUCUCCUUAUUUUUCUCUCUCCAAGGGCAUCCCCGGGGGAGGCAGGAGGAGCUGUGUCAGCUGCUGCCCUGUCCUUUCCAGGUGCAUGUGAGUGUGUGUGUCGUGGUUGCAUGUGUGUGACUGUGUGCUGGUGACAGUGAGUUUGUGCCUGUGUGUGUGUCUGUACACCCACAUACGGUAUCCUUUUUUUUUUUUUUAAGAUUUUAUGUAUUUAUUCAUGAGACACAGAGAGAGGCAGAGACCCAGGCAGAGGGAGAAGCAGGCUUCCUGCGGGGAGUCCGAGGCAGGACUCGAUCUCAGGACCCAGGGUCACGCCCUGAGCCAAAGGCAGAUGCUGGAUCGCUGAGCCCCCCGGGGCCCCGUACUGUAUUUCUCACAUGGGUCGUGGCCGUGGACUGUCCACUCACUGGCUUACAGGACCGAACUCAACUCAUUUUCCUGAAGGGACUUCCGGAUCAACCCAGGUCGCCGAGGCGGGUGCAGCGUGACAUCACUGUUGCCAACUGCCAGUCCAUAGGGUAAACAAGCACAGAAGACGCAGUGGACCUCUGGUCGCUCAGAUGGGCCACCCGUGAUGUCACGAGGCCUGUGCUGUGUGGGUCAGGACGGAGCCCUGCCUCUUGGCACCGUCUCCUCAGUGAGGACCCUGGGUUGGAACUUGGCCACCUGGGGACCUCGCUCGGCUUCACUGACAGGUGGGAGGAGGGUGCACCUGCCCUGUUUUCUCACAUUGGACUCCGGUGGCCGUCCCCAGCAUUCCCGCAAAGGGCCCACGAGGGCCUUGUGUUCGCCCCUCCAUCACGCAUGAAUGUCACACCUUUGGCUGCUUCCCCCGUCCGUGUCUCCCUCCAAGGCCUGGAGUGUCUGACAACCCGCUUCCGCGGCCCUCCACGCUGGGUCUGCACCAGAGGUGUUGGGGGCCUGGCCCUCCACCGCCCCACCUCGGGAGCCCCGCGCAUGGCAGCUCCUGCGAACCCUGCCCCAGCUCUGCCUCUGCUUCCCAAUCCAUCGAACUUCUCUCUCCGAGUCCUUUCAGCUCUCUGGGGAUGAAACAAAGAAUAAACUUAGGUACGGAUGGAUCCCAGGGUUGAUUCGACACCCAGGCAGUGGUGAGCACGCUCGAGCGCCGUGGGAAGGUCCCAAACGCUCCCGCGCCACGGGCACAGCCUCGACAUGUCACCAGCUUCCGGGGCUCGGGGGCCGUCGAUGUCUUCCCCGGACUCUCGAGGAACGCAGUUUAGUCUUCCAACUUCCUGUCUCACAAAUGACAGGGUCGGUGUCUCUUCCUCACCCCCUGCCCUCGGCAAAAUUAAUGCAUCUCAAGACAGGAACAAGUGGGCAUUUGCUGCGGAGCCUUAAACACUACAUUUGAAAACGUAAAUUUCAUCCUCAAGGUCCGAAUUUCCCCUAAGGGUCUUGUUUAUCACAACGGCCACACUCUCCAGUCACCACCCACCUAAGCUAAGUGUUAAUACAAGCAAGUAAGUACAAAUUUAUUUGUGCUAGUAAAUUUAAGCUCUUCUUCUGAUAUAUUUGUGGAUUAAAAAUAAAAUCACAAUGACAACGCAAAACUAUCUUCACAUACUAAUGAAAAAACUAGGAGAGGAGGGAAGGGGGAUGGGGUGACUGGAUGACGGGCACUAAGGAGGACACUGGAUGGGAUGAGCACCGGGGAUUAUACUAUAAGUUGGCAAAUUGAAUUUAAAUAAAAUAUUUUUUAAAAAGUAAAAAGCAAACCCCCAGAAAAGAAAAGAAAAAACUACAUAUCAAAAAUUUGAAGUUGCAAGGAAGUGGUGAUUUCUAUCCUUAACCACUUACAACAGAGAAUAAGAGAAGCUAAAAUGGUCCAACUUUGAACUUAAGAAAUGAACAACGCAGUGAGGAUGUGUCCUGGGAGGCUCAGUGGUUGAGCAUCUGGCCUCGGCUCAUGUCCCGGGAUCCAGGGAUCGAGUCCCACAUCGGGCUCCCUGCUCCACAGGGAAUCUGCUCCUCCCUCUGCCUCUGCCUCUCCCCACUACUGAUGACCUCUCUCUCUCUCUUGCAAAUGAAUGCAUAAAAAAGUCUUAAAAAAAUAAUUCAAGAUGACCAAGGUAGGUUUAAUGCAGGAUUGCAAAGAAUGCUUGAAAUUAGAAAAUGUAUUAAAAGAGUAUCACUUUAGGAACAGAUGAAAUGGGAAAAUCACCUGAUUAUUUCAAGAAAAAAGCUUUUGAAAAAAAUUUAACACAAAUUCAUGAAAAACUUCUCAUAAGUAGGGCUAGAAGAGGAUUAGCUUAACCUGGUAACGAUUGUCUGUAAAAAACCUACCGCGCAUUGAAAGAGGGCAACAUUCGCAUUCCCUAUAACAUCAGAAACAAUAUAUAGAUAUUGACUUUCACCUUUUAUUCAAUGAUGGAAUAAGACAUACUUAUUUUUUUUUAAUUUUUUAAAAAUUUAUUCACAAUAAACAUAGACACAGAGAGAGAGGCAAAGACACAGGCAGAGGGAGGAAGCAGGCUCCAUGCGGGGAACCCAAUGCAGGACUCGAUCCCAGGACCCCGGGGCAGAUGCUCAGCCACUGAGCACCCAAGGUCCCCACAACUCUCCUUUUUCCCAGAGUAUUUCUAACUGGUCUUGAGAAGUUUUUGUUUAUGUAUAUUUCAACUUGUCCAGUUUAGGAAGAAAACCAGUCAUAAUUGUUAUGGAAAUAACAUUAAAUUGAAAAAUCUAUGUUAGAACAGACAUUUCAAUGCUGUUUAGAGUCGUCACGUCUGAGAACGAGAGGUGUCUUUACAAUUGUUCGGGGUUGCUGUUGUGUCUCUCAGAAGCGUACUAAGUUUUCGUCCUUUAGAUUUUGCACAUUUGGGGGCAGAUUUAAUUCCAAGGAUAAGUCUUCUUUCCCCCAAUCGUACGUGAGGUUUUCUGUCCCAUUAUGCCCUCUAGGUGGCUCUUG
This 4774-nucleotide long non-coding RNA is filed under the name Canis lupus familiaris (dog). RNAcentral's name for it is "lncRNA (ENSCAFG00845014736.1)". The record is from RNAcentral. Lineage: Eukaryota; Metazoa; Chordata; Mammalia; Carnivora; Canidae.